RNAcentral lists this ribosomal RNA (497 nucleotides) under uncultured bacterium. RNAcentral's name for it is "partial 16S ribosomal RNA". It matches the Rfam family "Bacterial small subunit ribosomal RNA", at positions 28 to 507 of the family's 1533-position model. The record is from RNAcentral.
GAUGAACGCUGGCGGCGUGCCUAAUACAUGCAAGUCGAGCGAACGGACGAGAAGCUUGCUUCUCUGAUGUUAGCGGCGGACGGGUGAGUAACACGUGGAUAACCUACCUAUAAGACUGGGAUAACUUCGGGAAACCGGAGCUAAUACCGGAUAAUAUUUUGAACCGCAUGGUUCAAAAGUGAAAGACGGUCUUGCUGUCACUUAUAGAUGGAUCCGCGCUGCAUUAGCUAGUUGGUAAGGUAACGGCUUACCAAGGCAACGAUGCAUAGCCGACCUGAGAGGGGGAUCGGCCACACUGGAACUGAGACACGGUCCAUACUCCUACGGGAGGCAGCAGUAGGGAAUCUUCCGCAAUGGGCGAAAGCCUGACGGAGCAACGCCGCGUGAGUGAUGAAGGUCUUCGGAUCGUAAAACUCUGUUAUUAGGGAAGAACAUAUGUGUAAGUAACUGUGCACAUCUUGACGGUACCUAAUCAGAAAGCCACGGCUAACUACGUG